Molecule: ribosomal RNA, 301 nt
Filed under: uncultured bacterium
Lineage: Bacteria
Description: partial 16S ribosomal RNA
Rfam family: Bacterial small subunit ribosomal RNA
Source: RNAcentral
CAGUCGCCGCGGGAAUACGAAGGGGGCUAGCGUUGUUCGGAAUUACUGGGCGUAAAGCGCACGUAGGCGGAUAUUUAAGUCAGGGGUGAAAUCCCGCAGCUCAACUGCGGAACUGCCUUUGAUACUGGGUAUCUUGAGUAUGGAAGAGGUUAGUGGAAUUGCGAGUGUAGAGGUGAAAUUCGUAGAUAUUCGCAGGAACACCAGUGGCGAAGGCGGCUAACUGGUCCAUAACUGACGCUGAGGUGCGAAAGCGUGGGGAGCAAACAGGAUUAGAUACCCGAGUAGUCCCUGUCUCUUAUAC